RNAcentral lists this ribosomal RNA (231 nucleotides) under Salmonella enterica. RNAcentral describes it as "partial 16S ribosomal RNA". It matches the Rfam family "Bacterial small subunit ribosomal RNA", at positions 1 to 228 of the family's 1533-position model. RNAcentral also lists the same sequence under 9 other names. Lineage: Bacteria; Pseudomonadati; Pseudomonadota; Gammaproteobacteria; Enterobacterales; Enterobacteriaceae. The record is from RNAcentral.
AAAUUGAAGAGUUUGAUCAUGGCUCAGAUUGAACGCUGGCGGCAGGCCUAACACAUGCAAGUCGAACGGUAACAGGAAGCAGCUUGCUGCUUUGCUGACGAGUGGCGGACGGGUGAGUAAUGUCUGGGAAACUGCCUGAUGGAGGGGGAUAACUACUGGAAACGGUGGCUAAUACCGCAUAACGUCGCAAGACCAAAGAGGGGGACCUUCGGGCCUCUUGCCAUCAGAUGU